Molecule: long non-coding RNA, 364 nt
Organism: Homo sapiens (human)
Lineage: Eukaryota; Metazoa; Chordata; Mammalia; Primates; Hominidae
Gene: NDUFA6-DT
Product: NDUFA6 divergent transcript
Source: Ensembl
GCACUGAACUCCCAGACUUAGCUGGGCCUCAGUGCUCUUCUUGGGUUUGGUCAUAGAGCCCAAGAGGAGGUGGAUAAGCUGCCUGACACUGAUAUGGUAAAAGGAUUAUCUGCAAAUUUCUAGCGUCAUCAAGACUGGCCUCUUUGCCCACAGGGGAGAUGGUCAGGCCAGUGUGGGGGCUAAUGAAUAAAUGCUACACUGUGCCCACUCAGGUCACGACCCCCAGGAGACCUGGAGGACUGAAUGCUGCUGCCCCCAAGGAGGAGGCUGCCGUCUUAUCCCAGGAGGGAGAGCAGGAAAAUAAAAAGGUUCAAAAGGAAGUUGCUGCGUAUCCAUCUGAGGCCUCUGAGGACAGCAAAGAGCA